Molecule: long non-coding RNA, 1105 nt
Filed under: Ursus maritimus (polar bear)
Lineage: Eukaryota; Metazoa; Chordata; Mammalia; Carnivora; Ursidae
Description: lncRNA (ENSUMAG00000019001.1)
Source: RNAcentral
GUAAAUGGCGUUGUUGGUACCCUCAGUCACAUCAGCUCCUCGGCGUCCGCGGCUACCUCACCCGCUACUCCGGCCGCCUAAGAAACGCCGCUCCUCGUCUGACCUGGCCACGGUUGUUUUUUUCUCUGUGUACCCUAAGAUCUUGAUGAUCUCCAGUCCCGUGGGGUUUUUUUGUUUUGUUUUUCCAACCACAGAAUUCCACUCUAUUGCCAGAAAUGGGCUGGUUUUCCCUUUGUUGUGCAAAAUGACGGUGUCCUUGAGGAAUGUUUGGAGGCUCUUAGCAAUGAGGAAUCAUCCAGAAGCAUAACUGGUGUCAGCUCAGUUGUGUUGUCAACAUUUCAACUGUGAGUAAAACCCAUGUAUCCCAAUGAAAGAGGAAAGCUUUUCCAUAUAUAUUUUCUUCCGGAGAUCUUUAUCCCUAUGAUCUCAGAAAAUUGCUCCAGAAGAUCAGGUUUUACCAUCUAAAGUUCAUUUUAUUGAAAAGCUGAUUCUUCUUAAAGUGUAAGUGACGUCAGAUGACCCCACAAAAAAAGCAUUAUGACAUCAUCAGAACUAACAACCUGCCAUGACAUACUAAUGAGAAAAGGGAGUUAACAGAAUUCUUAACACUCCUCACAGUAAAGUCAACAUCUGCUCCCCUAGGUUUUAUGUGUGUUAAAAACAACCUUCAGGCGAGGGAAAAUUGAGUACCAGUCAUAAUCUUUCCUGAGAAAUAUUAAGUAGUAUAUGCUUACUAUCUUCUUCAUUUUUUUUUUAUUAAUAUAUAAUGGAAAGAUCCUGAUGUACUCAGGAGCUAAAACAAUGGCUUUCAGAUAGGGUGGAACAUAUAAUAUCUCCAGAGAGCAUGAAAUUUUUCUAUCUAAAACAUUUGACUAUACAGUGUUUGGAGACAAGGCUUACAUAUUUCUUUACAGUGUGGGGCUUACUAUCACAUAGGCAAAAGGCAAAAUGUCUGACAAUACCAAAAGUGGGGUGGAGCUCUCUAUAACAGCAAAAUCGGACAAUUACUUUAGAAAACAGUUCAACAAUAGUAGAAUUAAAAUUUCCCUUACCCUUAAAGAAUCUUUUUAAUAGCCUAUUUACAAUAAAAGAUACUUAAGAGACA